Oncorhynchus tshawytscha (Chinook salmon) is the source of this 835-nucleotide long non-coding RNA. RefSeq lists it as uncharacterized. The transcript has 5 exons. The record is from RefSeq and is a predicted model, not a curated record. NCBI's taxonomy places the organism in Eukaryota, Metazoa, Chordata, Actinopteri, Salmoniformes, Salmonidae.
UGCUGUUGGUCUAGAGUCUAGUAGGUGGAGUGCUGUUGGUCUAGAGUCUAGUAGGUGGAGUGCUGUUGGUCUAGAGUCUAGUAGGUGGAGUGCUGUUGGUCUAGAGUCUAGUAGGUGGAGUGCUGUUGGUCUAGAGUCUAGUAGGUGGAGUGCUGUUGGUGUAGAGUCUAGUAGGUGGAGGGCUGUUGGUCUAGAGUCUAGUAGGUGGAGUGCUGUUGGUCUAGAGUCCAGUAGGUGGAGUGCUGUUGGUCUGGAGUCUAGUAGGUGGAGUGCUGUUGGUCUGGAGUCUAGUAGGUGGAGGGCUGUUGGUCUAGAGUCUAGUAGGUGGAGUGCUGUUGGUCUAGAGUCCAGUAGGUGGAGUGCUGUUGGUCUAGAGUCUAGUAGGUGGAGUGCUGUUGGUCUAGAGUCUAGUAGGUGGAGUGCUGUUGGUCUAGAGUCUAGUAGGUGGAGUGCUGUUGGUCUAGAGUCUAGUAGGUGGAGGGCUGUUGGUCUAGAGUCUAGUAGGUGGAGUGCUGUUGGUCUAGAGUCCAGUAGGUGGAGUGCUGUUGGUCUAGAGUCUAGUAGGUGGAGUGCUGUUGGUCUAGAGUCUAGUAGGUGGAGGGCUGUUGGUCUAGAGUCUAGUAGGUGGAGUGCUGUUGGUCUAGAGUCUAGUAGGUGGAGUGCUGUUGGUCUAGAGUCUAGUAGGUGGAGUGCUGUUGGUCUAGAGUCUAGUAGGUGGAGUGCUGUUGGUCUAGAGUCUAGUAGGUGGAGUGCUGUUGGUCUAGAGUCUAGUAGGUGGAGUGCUGUUGGUCUAGAGUCUAGUAGGUGGAGUGCUGUUGGUCUAGAGUCUAGUAGG